AGGAAGGCUGUAGAGAAGAUGGGGCAACUAGGAUUUGUGGCCCUGGUGCAGUCUUUCAGAGGUUUCGAGACAUACUUAUAUGUAAAAGGUUGAUACAAAACAUGAGUAAAUAAAAUUUCCUAAAUGGAGGUCGACUGGCAUUUCAUAACUAGUGCCUCUCUUGCUCUGAGCACUAAACAGGAGUCGCUAUGGUAUCAUUUUGGCUGUUUUUGUUACAUUUCAAGUUUUCUCAAAAUAUAAACAAGGUAAUCAAUGCAAACUUUAAUAAAAUCUUAUAGUAUACAGUGAAUUCUUACAUUUAUCACACAAUAUACUAACAUUCCCAAUUUCAUUUGUCAGCCAGAUGGUUGCAUUGCAUGGUAAAGCUGUGGCUUAUCACCUUGGAAGAUCUGGAUUCAAAUCCGGAUCCUACACCUCCAGUAUUUCAGGAGGAGUCCAGGCCUGGUCUAUUGAACCCAAUCUUUUAACCAUCCAGUUGAUCCAUCAUAUAUGUUGGUCAGCUUGUGAAGGGCUCUAUAAGUGGCCACUGCCAAAUACAGUAUAUCUCUCAUGCGAUAUGGCAGCUUAACCAACUCAAUCAGUCCAAUCUCAUUUAAAUAUUUUAUUUAUUAAAUUAAACAUUAAUAGAAAAUCUAUAGCAUAUAC
This 645-nucleotide long non-coding RNA is filed under the name Androctonus crassicauda. The record is from RNAcentral. Lineage: Eukaryota; Metazoa; Arthropoda; Arachnida; Scorpiones; Buthidae.